AGAGUUUGAUCCUGGCUCAGAACGAACGCUGGCGGCGUGCCUAACACAUGCAAGUCGUGCGAGAAAGUCUCCUUCGGGAGGCGAGUAAAGCGGCGCACGGGUGAGUAACACGUGGGUAACCUGCCUUUGGGACUGGGACAACCCAGGGAAACCCGGGCUAAUACCAGAUACGGCGUCGGGGUCUUCGGAUCCUGAGGCGAAAUGAUGGCCUAUGCUUGCAAGCCAUCGCUCGAAGAUGGGCCCGCGGCCCAUUAGCUAGUUGGUGAGGUAACGGCUCACCAAGGCAAUGAUGGGUAGCUGGUCUGAGAGGAUGAUCAGCCACACUGGGACUGAGACACGGCCCAGACUCCUACGGGAGGCAGCAGUGGGGAAUUUUGGGCAAUGGGCGAAAGCCUGACCCAGCAACGCCGCGUGCAGGAUGAAGGCCCUCGGGUCGUAAACUGCUGUCGGGAGGGAAGAAAAGCAGCGGAAGGAAAUGGCCGCUGCCUGACGGUACCUCCAAAGGAAGCGCCGGCUAACUCCGUGCCAGCAGCCGCGGUAAUACGGAGGGCGCAAGCGUUGUUCGGAAUUACUGGGCGUAAAGCGCGUGUAGGCGGUCUGGCAAGUCGGGUGUGAAAUCCCGGGCUCAACCCGGGAACUGCAUCCGAAACCUCCAGGCUAGAGUUUCGGAGAGGAAGGCAGAAUUCCCAAUGUAGGGGUGAAUCCGUAGAUAUUGGGAGGAAUACCAGUGGCGAAGGCGGCCUUCUGGACGAUGACUGACGCUGAGACGCGAAAGCGGGGGAGCAAACAGGAUUAGAUACCCUGGUAGUCCACGCCGUAAACGGUGCGCACUAGGUGCCGGGUAUUCACCCUCCGGUGCCGCAGCUAACGUACUAAGUGCGCCGCCUGGGAAGUACGGCCGCAAGGCUAAAACUCAAAGGAAUUGACGGGGCCCGCACAAGCGGUGGAGCAUGUGGUUCAAUUCGAUGCAACGCGAAGAACCUUACCUGGUCUUGACAUCCCGGGAAUCUCCCUGAAAGGGGAGAGUGCCUUCGGGAACCCGGUGACAGGUGCUGCAUGGCUGUCGUNAGCUCGUGUCGUGAGAUGUUGGGUUAAGUCCCGCAACGAGCGCAACCCUUGUCUUUAGUUGCCAGCGGUUAGGCCGGGCACUCUAGAGAGACUGCCGGUGUCAAACCGGAGGAAGGUGGGGAUGACGUCAAGUCUUCAUGGCCUUUAUGACCAGGGCUACACACGUGCUACAAUGGUCGGUACAAAGGGCAGCAACACCGCGAGGUGAAGCAAAUCCCAAAAAGCCGACCUCAGUACGGAUUGCAGUCUGCAACUCGACUGCAUGAAGUUGGAAUCGCUAGUAAUCGCGGAUCAGCACGCCGCGGUGAAUACGUUCCCGGGCCUUGUACACACCGCCCGUCACACCACGAAAGUGGGUUGCACUAGAAGUCCCCAGGCUAACCGCAAGGAGGCAGGGGCCCAAGGUGUGACUCAUGAUUGGGGUGAAGUCGUAACAAGGUAACC
This 1512-nucleotide ribosomal RNA is filed under the name uncultured Green Bay ferromanganous micronodule bacterium MND4. RNAcentral describes it as "bacterial SSU rRNA". It matches the Rfam family "Bacterial small subunit ribosomal RNA". The record is from RNAcentral. Lineage: Bacteria; Deltaproteobacteria.